GAUCAUGGCUCAGGACGAACGCUGGCGGCGUGCCUAACACAUGCAAGUCGAACGGAGUUAAGCUCUUCGGAACUUGACUUAGUGGCGAACGGGUGAGUAACGCGUGAGGAACCUGCCUUUCAGUGGGGGACAACAGUUGGAAACGACUGCUAAUACCGCAUGACACUUUUGAGGGACAUCCCUUAAAAGUCAAAGCUUUAUGUGCUGAAAGAUGGCCUCGCGUCUGAUUAGCUGGUUGGUGAGG
This 244-nucleotide ribosomal RNA is filed under the name uncultured bacterium. RNAcentral describes it as "partial 16S ribosomal RNA". It matches the Rfam family "Bacterial small subunit ribosomal RNA", at positions 15 to 257 of the family's 1533-position model. The record is from RNAcentral.